ACCAGACUCCUACGGGAGGCAGCAGUGGGGAAUAGGGGGCAAUGGGCGAAAGCCUGACCCAGCAACGCCGCGUGAAGGAAGAAGGCUUUCGGGUUGUAAAACUCUUUUCUCAGGGACGAAGCAAGUGACGGUACCUGAGGAAUAAGCCACGGCUAACUCCGUGCCAGCAGCCGCGGUAAUACGGAGGGUGCGAGCGUUAAUCGGAAUUACUGGGCGUAAAGCGCUCGUAGGCGGUAUGUCAAGUCAAGGGUGAAAUCCCCGCGCUCAACGUGGGAACUGCCUUUGAGACUGGCAAACUGGAGUGUGUGAGAGGAUAGUGGAAUUCCAGGUGUAGGAGUGAAAUCCGUAGAUAUCUGGAGGAACAUCAGUGGCGAAGGCGACUAUCUGGCACAUAACUGACGCUGAGGAGCGAAAGCGUGGGUAGCAAACAGGAUUAGAUACCCUCGUACUU
This 451-nucleotide ribosomal RNA is filed under the name uncultured bacterium. RNAcentral describes it as "bacterial SSU rRNA". It matches the Rfam family "Bacterial small subunit ribosomal RNA", at positions 330 to 795 of the family's 1533-position model. The record is from RNAcentral.